Molecule: ribosomal RNA, 253 nt
Filed under: uncultured bacterium
Lineage: Bacteria
Description: partial 16S ribosomal RNA
Rfam family: Bacterial small subunit ribosomal RNA
Source: RNAcentral
UACGGAGGGUGCAAGCGUUAUCCGGAUUUAUUGGGUUUAAAGGGUCCGUAGGCGGACUAAUAAGUCAGUGGUGAAAGCCCCUUGCUCAACAAGGGAACUGCCAUUGAUACUGUUAGUCUUGAGUACAAGUGAGGUUGGCGGAAUGUGUGGUGUAGCGGUGAAAUGCUUAGAUAUCACACAGAACACCGAUUGCGAAGGCAGCUGGCCAACUUGUAACUGACGCUGAGGGACGAAAGUGUGGGGAUCAAACAGG